This 97-nucleotide microRNA precursor is filed under the name Marmota monax (woodchuck). The record is from RNAcentral. Lineage: Eukaryota; Metazoa; Chordata; Mammalia; Rodentia; Sciuridae.
AUACAAAUCAUCUGGGGAUCUUGUUAAAAUAAGGCUCUGAUAUAGCAGGUGACACCUGAAGUCCUGCAUUGCUAAUAAGCUCCCCAGUGAUGAUGAU